UUGUUUUCUUUGGCAUCACAUAUACUAAAAUUGGAAUGAUAUAGAACUUAGCAUGGCCACUGCACAAGAAUGACACACAAAUUCAUGAAAUGCUCCAUAUUUUU
This 104-nucleotide small nuclear RNA is filed under the name Vulpes vulpes (red fox). The record is from RNAcentral. Lineage: Eukaryota; Metazoa; Chordata; Mammalia; Carnivora; Canidae.